GACAGAGGGUGCAAACGUUGUUCGGAAUUACUGGGCGUAAAGCGCGUGUAGGCUGCUCCGCAAGUCGGGUGUGAAAGCCCUGGGCUCAACCCAGGAAGUGCACUCGAAACUGCGGAGCUCGAGUCCUGGAGAGGAAGGCGGAAUUCUCGGUGUAGAGGUGAAAUUCGUAGAUAUCGAGAGGAACACCUGUGGCGAAGGCGGCCUUCUGGACAGUGACUGACGCUGAGACGCGAAAGCGUGGGGAGCAAACAGG
Molecule: ribosomal RNA, 253 nt
Filed under: uncultured bacterium
Lineage: Bacteria
Description: partial 16S ribosomal RNA
Rfam family: Bacterial small subunit ribosomal RNA
Source: RNAcentral